UACGUAGGGACCUAGCGUUGUCCGGAAUCAUUGGGCGUAAAGCGCGCGUAGGCGGCCCGGUAAGUCCGUUGUAAAAGUCGAAGGCUCAACCUUCGAAAGCCGAUGGAUACUGCCGGGCUAGAGUCCGGAAGAGGCGAGUAGAAUUCCUGGUGUAGCGGUGGAAUGCGCAGAUAUCAGGAGGAAUACCCAUAGCGAAGGCAGCUCGCUGGGACGGUACUGACGCUGAGGCGCGAAAGCUAGGGGAGCAAACAGG
This 253-nucleotide ribosomal RNA is filed under the name uncultured bacterium. RNAcentral describes it as "partial 16S ribosomal RNA". It matches the Rfam family "Bacterial small subunit ribosomal RNA", at positions 524 to 776 of the family's 1533-position model. The record is from RNAcentral.